UUCCUACGGGGCGCAGCAGUGGGGAAUAUUGCACAAUGGGGGGAACCCUGAUGCAGCGACGCCGCGUGAGUGAAGAAGUAUUUCGGUAUGUAAAGCUCUAUCAGCAGGGAAGAAAAUGACGGUACCUGACUAAGAAGCCCCGGCUAACUACGUGCCAGCAGCCGCGGUAAUACGUAGGGGGCAAGCGUUAUCCGGAUUUACUGGGUGUAAAGGGAGCGUAGACGGCAGAGCAAGUCUGAAGUGAAAGCCCGCGGCCCAACCCCGGGACUGCUCUUGGAACUGCAUGGCUGGAGUACAGGAGGGGG
Molecule: ribosomal RNA, 305 nt
Filed under: uncultured bacterium
Lineage: Bacteria
Description: bacterial SSU rRNA
Rfam family: Bacterial small subunit ribosomal RNA
Source: RNAcentral